UUGAUCCUGGNCUCAGAACGAACGCUGGCGGCGUGCUUAACACAUGCAAGUCGGAUGCGAACGGCGCUUUCGGGCGUUGAGUAGCAUGGCAGACGGGUGAGGAGCGCGUAUCUGACUGGACUCAGGCUGGGGGAUAGUCCCUCGAAAGGGGGUUGAAUACCGCAUGUGCUCGGUGCUGUGAGGGCAUCGAGGAAAGUUGGCCUCUGCUGGCACGCUGAUGGCCUGAGACAGGGAUGCGUCCUAUUAGCUAGCUGGUGGAGUAAGGGCCUACCAGGGCGACGAUGGGUAGCUGGUCUGAGGGGAUGAUCAGCCACACUGGGACUGCGACACGGCCCAGACUCCUACGGGAGGCAGCAGUGGGGAAUUUUGCGCAAUGGGCGCAAGCCUGACGCAGCAACGCCGCGUGCAUGACGACGCCUUUCGAGGUGUAAAGUGCUGUCGACCGGGACGAAGGGGCGAGGGUGAACAGCUUUCGCGCAUGACGGUACCGGUGGAGGAAGCCCCGGCUAACUCCGUGCCAGCAGCCGCGGUAAGACGGAGGGGGCGAGCGUUGUUCGGAAUUACUGGGCGUAAAGCGCGCGUAGGCGGUGCAGAGAAGUUGGUGCGUGAAAGCCCU
Molecule: ribosomal RNA, 616 nt
Filed under: uncultured organism
Description: bacterial SSU rRNA
Rfam family: Bacterial small subunit ribosomal RNA
Source: RNAcentral